CCUACGGGUGGCAGCAGUGGGGAAUAUUGCACAAUGGGGGAAACCCUGAUGCAGCACCGCCGCGUGAGUGAAGCAGUAUUUCGGUAUGUAAAGCUCUAUCAGCCGGGAAGAAGAAAGACGGUACCUGACUAAGAAGCCCCGGCUAACUACGUGCCAGCAGCCGCGGUAAUACGUAGGGGGCAAGCGUUAUCCGGAUUUACUGGGUGUAAAGGGAGCGUAGGCGGUGCAGCAAGUCAGAUGGGAAAGGUCGGGGCCCAACCCUGGGACUGCAUUGGAAACUGUUGAAGUGGAGUACAGGAGAGGUAAGCGGAAUUCCUAGUGUAGCGGUGAAAUGCGUAGAUAUUAGGAGGAACACCAGUGGCGAAGGCGGCUUACUGGACUGUAACUGACGUUGAGGCUCGAAAGCGUGGGGAGCAAACAGGAUUAGAUACCCUAGUAGUC
RNAcentral lists this ribosomal RNA (441 nucleotides) under uncultured bacterium. Its description in RNAcentral is "partial 16S ribosomal RNA". It matches the Rfam family "Bacterial small subunit ribosomal RNA", at positions 338 to 795 of the family's 1533-position model. The record is from RNAcentral.